GCAUUAAUGGGGUAGUGGUAACCUGGGUCGUUGCCAUAUUGUGCAUCUUCGACCCGCCGGGGGUUCAAUUCCCCCUUAAUGCA
Non-coding RNA from Desarmillaria ectypa, 83 nucleotides. Lineage: Eukaryota; Fungi; Basidiomycota; Agaricomycetes; Agaricales; Physalacriaceae. The record is from the annotation of a GenBank genome assembly.